Regulatory RNA element from Clostridium sp. N3C, 103 nucleotides. It matches the Rfam family "PyrR binding site". From Rfam's summary of the family: This family represents the PyrR binding site and terminator structure. This RNA structure is found upstream of a variety of genes involved in pyrimidine biosynthesis and transport. Lineage: Bacteria; Bacillati; Bacillota; Clostridia; Eubacteriales; Clostridiaceae. The record is from Rfam.
UAUACCUUUAAAUUGAUCCAGAGAGGUCAAGAAGGAAGUCAUAUAGUUUAGAGAUGUAUUCUAUGGUAUAAGUAUGCCUUCCUUUAUGGAAGGCAUUUUUAUU